RNAcentral lists this ribosomal RNA (365 nucleotides) under uncultured Pelotomaculum sp. RNAcentral describes it as "bacterial SSU rRNA". It matches the Rfam family "Bacterial small subunit ribosomal RNA", at positions 1016 to 1382 of the family's 1533-position model. Lineage: Bacteria; Bacillati; Bacillota; Clostridia; Eubacteriales; Desulfotomaculaceae. The record is from RNAcentral.
AUCCUCGGGUGACAGGGAGCAGGUGGUGCAUGGUUGUCGUCAGCUCGUGUCGUGAGAUGUUGGGUUAAGUCCCGCAACGAGCGCAACCCCUACGUUUAGUUGCUAACGCGUGAAGGCGAGCACUCUAGACGAACUGCCGUUGACAAAACGGAGGAAGUGGGGAUGACGUCAAUCAUCAUGCCCCUUAUGUUCUGGGCUACACACGUGCUACAAUGGCCGGUACAGACGGACGCAAAGCCGCGAGGUGGAGCAAAUCCUAAAAAGCCGGUCUCAGUUCGGAUUGCAGGCUGCAAUUCGCCUGCAUGAAGUCGGAAUCGCUAGUAAUCGCAGGUCAGCAUACUGCGGUGAAUACGUUCCCGGGCCUU